Molecule: long non-coding RNA, 900 nt
Filed under: Coturnix japonica (Japanese quail)
Lineage: Eukaryota; Metazoa; Chordata; Aves; Galliformes; Phasianidae
Description: lncRNA (ENSCJPG00005002596.1)
Source: RNAcentral
CCCCGCCACAUUUCAUCCAUCCCCGCCCCCAACAGUUGAAUGCGGAUCCCCCCCAAAUUAUAAUGGACCCCCCCCCAGUUAAAGGACCCCCCCCAGUUCAGUUACCCCCCCCAAUUAAUGGACCCCCCCCAAAUUAAAAUGGACCCCCCCCAAUUAAGGGACCCCCCCCCUCCCACCCGCCCAUAACGCACCAUCUGGGGGGGGGGGUCAAAAGGGACCACCAUCCCCCCCCCCCAUUUAUAUAAGGGUCCGUCCUGCUUUGCACGAGGAAACCCUCGUGCAAGAGCCUGGUGCAAGGGUUGCAUGUAAUAACUCCCCUUGUGCAAGAGAUUGGUGCUAGAGUUUCUCUUGUGCAAGAGGAGAUUGGUGCUAGAGUUGCAUUUAACAGCCAUCCUCGUGCAAGGGAUUGGUGCAAGAGCAGCCCUUGUGCAAGAGAAAUCCUCGUGCAAGAUAAUGGUGCAAGAUCUGCAUGCAAUAACCUCCCUCGUGCAAGGUAAUGGUGAUUUAACAACUGCCCUCGUGCAAGGGAUUGGUGCAAGAGCAGCCCUCGUGCAAGAGACAUCCUCAUGCAAGGAAAAUCCUCGUGCAAGAGACAUCCUCGUGCAAGGAAAUCAUUGUACAAGAGAGAUCCUCGUGCAAGAGAGAUCAUCGUGCAAGAUAAUGGUGCUAGAUGUGCAUGCAAUAACUCCCCUCGUGCAAGAUAAUGGUGCUAGAGUUUCCCUUGUGCAAGAGAUACACUUGUGCAAGAGGAGACUGGUGCUAGGGUUGCAUGCAAUAACUCCCCUCGUGCAAGAGACAUCCUCGUGCAAGAUAAUGGUGCUAGAUCUGCAUGCAAUAACCCCCCUCGUGCAAGAUAAUGGUGCAAGAGCUGCAUGCAAUAACCCCCCUUGUGCAAGAUAA